Molecule: long non-coding RNA, 2764 nt
Organism: Cyprinus carpio carpio
Lineage: Eukaryota; Metazoa; Chordata; Actinopteri; Cypriniformes; Cyprinidae
Source: Ensembl
AUUUAUUUUUUUGCAGAAAAAGUCAACAACUUGAUACACAUACAUGAAACUAGUAUGAAAAUAGGAUGAGGCAGACAGACAGAUGGACUGAAGUUGGUGAGUAUUGACAUCUAAGCGUGUAUUUUGCCAUCACACUGUUCUCACCCAAGCUAUAUCAUGCCAACUGGUUUUGGCAUCAGCUCACAGCACGGGCACACUUAGCCACCAGCUGGCAGUCGCGGGCCUCAAAUAAGAAUUGUUCAGACAUGGCACUCAUUCAAAAAGUUCUCACUUCCCUAAACCCCUCCGUGGUAAAUAGGGAUGGCAUGUUCCUGCAAACUGAAAGCUUUGUCUGAGAAUCUCCCCUCCAGUUUGAGAAGUAGUAUCGUCAACGAAGGAUCCGUUCACCACCACAGAAAGAGCUGGAAGCGAGAACACUCUCCUUGAGGCUUUAAAUGCCUUAAACAGAUCAUUGAUUAUUGGCGCUUUGUAUUGCACGUGAUGUAGGUGUUUUGAUGGACGUCCUUCUUCUUUCGUGAGGAAUUCAAUGAUUUUCUUUUUAACAGAACCAGGCUUGGAUCCCAGCAUUCUCUUGGUAUGAAUUUUGAAAUUCCAGCAGCUCUUCAAACAUAUUCGCUCAUCAGCAAUCUGAUUGGUUUGGAAAGAAGACCGAAGGGUGACUGGCAAGCAGAAGGCAAACCGGUGAGCAUAUAUUUGACGCAUAGCUACAAUGGCUGCCGCUAGCCCGGUAUCUUCUCAGUCACGGUGUUAGUAGGUAACACGUCCGGCAGUGGGCGCCAGCUCCCCAUUUGGUUGGCCCAGGAUUCGCUGAAAACCGUGGGAGAAGAAAGACGCCCCCUCUUUUUUAAAAGAUUUGGAGAGUGAGUGGGGAACAGAAAUCAAGGGGUGUUCCAAAAACAUGUGUCAGGUUGGCACCAGAUGAGAAUGCCUUGGCAAGCGCCUCACUUUCCCCCUCUUGCCCCUCUUAGAACACAUGGCACAUUGACGGCGGCAUCUGGCUGCAUUGACUCUCAGCAGCUGCGCUUUGUCUAUGCCAGUUGGGAUGCUUGGCACUGCCACUUCAUCAACUACCUGUGGCUUCUCCUGGGCGCGGAGCGGGCGAUGAAUUAUUUGGUGCUGCAGCUGCAAACUUGAUUUCUUUCCAAGAGAUACAGUUGUGUAAACACAUGCUAGACUCAUGGCACACAAACAAAUGCUUUGCAUACUUGGACAAUUUGUAUACAGGAGGACAAGUCUGCAUCUGGGCUUACUUUAUUCAAUGCUCGGCAUCUGGUCUCAGGAGGAAGUUCACAACAUUAUCACAUGGAAACCUUUGUAAUCUAUUAUACAAGAAACUUCAGGAAACUCUUUUUGGCAAUUCUUUGUCAACAUGACAUGAAAGAGGGAGAAGAAACCUUUUUCUUGUAUUACUUAAAAAGCUUCAAGGAAUUUGUUGACAAUAAUAUAUGAAAGAAAGACCCUUUACUGGAUUAUUCCAUAUGAGUUCCCCAAGGUUCUCUACUGGGCCCGGUUAUGUUCCAUGUCUAUUCUGUAACAUUUGUUGUAUUGAGUAUGAAAUACAGAAUUUACUGUGUCGAGUUUCCCUAAUGCUGCUCUCUAUCUGUGCCAAAAUGUGUGGUUUACACUGAACUGAUACUUAAAACAUGUACCAUGAGGUCUUCCCAAGUCUGAUUUGCUUAGUUUUUUUCCCAUGACUGUGGUUCAGCGCAUUUCAGCGCUAUAAAGCAGCUACAAGCUUUCCUCAUUUGGAAAGCAUCAUUUGGUAUCUCCAGGGGUAACUGUCAUGUUCUUUCAAUUUUGCAAAAGUUGCAAAACCUCCAGAGGAUCUAAGACAUCGCAGCCUUUUAAUAAAACAACAAACUCUGCUCCAUUUAAGAAGGACAGGGAGCGUGUACUUACAUCAGAGUGGAGCAGCUAAGGCAACAUCAAGCAGCACUUUUGACAAAAAACACGUCAGGCUUUGUUUUUAAGUGAAGUAGACAUCCGUUAUGUUCUAAACCCUGACAUCCACAGAGCCACGCGACCUAGAUUGGAUUAAAUUUUCUUUACAGGUUUUGUUUUUAGGUAUUUUUCAAUGGAGACAGAUUAUAUCUGUCAAGAUUCAAAGACAGUAGUUCUCUUUUUUGUUCAGCUUCUGGUGACCCACUGGGAGUUUGGCUCCAUCUGUGCCAGCCUGACCCAGUUUAGCCCACGGCCACGUCCAACUGUUCCAUGUCCCGAGCAUAUGUGCAGUUGCAGGGGGAUAAGUGAUCCUCACCACGCGGGACAGGGAAAAGUAUGCUGCAGACAUAACACUGGACCUGACUCUAGUCUACCCUCUUCCCAGAGCAUAUGUCAGGAACAGGGCUGGCCUUCAGGACUCAUACACUGGAGUUAUUCUCCUUUGAAAACAGUAAAACUGUGCUGGCAUGGUUUGACAUUUUGGUUCUUGGGGUGUAUAAGCAUUGAUGGUAAUUGUGUUAUUGUGGAUUACAAGUGAAUGUUAAUUUGAAAGAGAGAGAGGGAUAGAGUAACACUAACCAUACAUAACACAAUAAAUCAACAGCAAUAUGAUUUUGUUUUUAAUGGCAUUUUAUGGGGUAGUCCCUCAAUGAAAUCACAUUAAUCUAAAAUCUUGCACCUUAAAACUGUACGAUGAACAUGAAAUAUAUUCUGAUUGGCUGCAAUUGAGUCACAUUGCAUACCAGAUUUGCGUUUGGUGUGGAAAGAUAAAUUGUUAAUUGCAAUAGAAUCAUGUCUGUGUGAGAAUAAAAGGGAAACAAUG